GCCGCCGAUUGUCGCCCUCCUCGCGGCGACCGAAACAGGGCAACUCACGGAUUGCCCUUGUUCCCAGCUGCGUCACCACCACUUUUCCCAGCCGCAUCGCCGCCGCUCUAUCACCCGGGCAGCGACCUCUUCUCCUCACGUCCCCAUCUCGCUCGAGCGAGAAGGACUGCCGGCACCGCAGCCGCAGCCGCCGGUUGCCGCAGCUCCUCCUUGCAGCGGUUGCAGAAACAGAGCUUCCUCUGUUGCCGCAGCCCCUCGUCGAUCGCAGCCACGCCUCGAGCCCCGUCGCCUUCCAGCCGACCCACCACCACUGCCAGCUACCGUGCGGGGACCUCUGCUCGCCUCCCAGCCGCCGCUCCCCCUGGCUCGGGCGAGAACGACCGCCGCCACUCCCCCUUGCUCUGCAUCUUUUGUAACCGAAACAGGGCAAUCACGGGCAACUCACAUCUGCUGCCCUUGUUUCCAGCCGCCGCCGUCG
Molecule: long non-coding RNA, 478 nt
Filed under: Musa acuminata (dwarf banana)
Lineage: Eukaryota; Viridiplantae; Streptophyta; Magnoliopsida; Zingiberales; Musaceae
Description: long non-coding RNA (MACU_LNC011065)
Source: RNAcentral